CAGAGCCAGCACAAUUCAAACACAGCCCUGGCCAAUCAGCAUCUCCUCAUAGAGAUACAUUGAAUCAAGGUAUCUCUAUGAGGAAAGUUCAGUGUCUGCAUGCAGAGGGAGGAGACACUGAAUGUCAGUCACACUGUGCAGCAAUGCCCCAGGAAGCACCUCUAACAGCCAUCUGAGGAGUGGCCAGUGGAGGUAUCUGAAAAGACAGUGUUUACAGCAAAAAGCCUGGAGGUAAUGAUUCUACUCACCAGAACAAAUUUGUUCUGGUGACCUUUAACCUUAUCUCAUUUAAAGGGGCACUGUCACUUAAGUUCUUCCAUGAUGUAAGCUUAAUGAAAAAAAGAAACCCCUUACUGAAAAUUCCAAUACAACCAGAUAAAUUACAGCAGGGGUUGCUUUUUCUUAAAUACGCACUGACUUUUGUCAAAAGGCAAAUGUUCAAUCAGCUGCGAGCAAACCUG
This is a non-coding RNA of Pelobates cultripes (western spadefoot toad), 461 nucleotides long. NCBI's taxonomy places the organism in Eukaryota, Metazoa, Chordata, Amphibia, Anura, Pelobatidae. The record is from the annotation of a GenBank genome assembly.